AGAGUUUGAUCAUGGCUCAGAACGAACGUUGGCGGCGUGGAUUAGGCAUGCAAGUCGUGGGACAGCUGGGGGCAACUCCAGUUGACCGGCGUAAGGGGUAGUUAUGCAUAGGUAACCAUCCCUCCAGAUGGGGAUAACACCGAGAAAUCGGUGCUAAUACCCAGCGCCGUUGCGAUGGGGCAUCUUGUUGCAACGAAAGGUGUGAUUCCGCUGGAGGACGGGCUUAUGUGGUAUUAGCUAGUUGGUAGGGUAAUGGCCUACCAAGGCAUUGAUGGGUAGCGGGUGUGAGAGCACGACCCGCGUCAUUGGGACUGAGACACUGCCCAGACACCUACGGGUGGCUGCAGUCGAGAAUCUUCGGCAAUGGGCGCAAGCCUGACCGAGCGACGCCGCGUGUGGGAUGAAGGCCUUCGGGUUGUAAACCACUGUCAGAGGGGAUGAAAUGCAGGUGGGUUCUCCCAUCUGUUUGACAUAGCCUCAGAGAAGA
RNAcentral lists this ribosomal RNA (487 nucleotides) under uncultured Pirellula sp. RNAcentral's name for it is "bacterial SSU rRNA". It matches the Rfam family "Bacterial small subunit ribosomal RNA", at positions 8 to 491 of the family's 1533-position model. Lineage: Bacteria; Pseudomonadati; Planctomycetota; Planctomycetia; Pirellulales; Pirellulaceae. The record is from RNAcentral.